GAAUUUUGGACAAUGGGCGAAAGCCUGAUCCAGCAAUGCCGCGUGCAGGAUGAAGGCCUUCGGGUUGUAAACUGCUUUUGUACGGCACGAAAACCUUUGGGUUAAUAACCUGGAGGCAUGACGGUACCGUAAGCAUAAGCAACGGGUAACCACCGGACGGACACCGCGGUAAUACGUAGGGUGCAAGCGUUAAUCGGAAUUACUGUGCGUAAAGCGUGCGCAGGCGGUUUUGUAAGACAGAGGUGAAAUCCCCGGGCUCAACCUGGGAACUGCCUUUGUGACUGCAAGGCUAGAGUACGGCAGAGGGGGGUGGAAUUCCGCGUGUAGCAGUGAAAUGCGUAGAUAUGCGGAGGAACACCGAUGGCGAAGGCAACCCCCUGGGCCUGUACUGACGCUCAUGCACGAAAGCGUGGGGAGCAAACAGG
Molecule: ribosomal RNA, 425 nt
Filed under: uncultured bacterium
Lineage: Bacteria
Description: partial 16S ribosomal RNA
Rfam family: Bacterial small subunit ribosomal RNA
Source: RNAcentral